RNAcentral lists this non-coding RNA (78 nucleotides) under bovine gut metagenome. RNAcentral describes it as "aspS RNA". It matches the Rfam family "aspS RNA". The record is from RNAcentral.
ACAGGGGCGCCGUCUACGCCCGCGUGCCGUCUGUAGGAUAGCCGUCCGCACCGGCACGGGACGGUUCAGACGAGAGGA